UUAAUACCGGAUAGAUCAAAGAUACUGGAAUGUUCUCUGGUCCAAAACUCCGGUGCCCAAGGAUGGGUCUGCGGCCUAUCAGGUUGUAGUGGGUGUAACGUACCUACUAGCCUACGACGGGUAAGGGUUGUGAGAGCAAGAUCCCUGAGAUGGAUUCUGAGACAUGAAUCCAGGCCCUACGGGGUGCAGCAGGCGCGAAAACUUUACACUGCGGGAAACCGCGAUAAGGGGACCCCGAGUGCCAGCACCUAGUGCUGGCUGUCCCGCUGUCCAAACAACAGUGGUUAGCAAGGGCCGGGCAAGACCGGUGCCAGCCGCCGCGGUAACACCGGCGGCCCGAGUGGUAGCCGCUAUUAUUGGGUUUAAAGGGUCCGUAGCCGGCUUAUUAAGUCUCUUGGGAAAUCUGGCGGCUCAAUCGUCAGGCGUUCA
Molecule: ribosomal RNA, 429 nt
Filed under: uncultured archaeon
Lineage: Archaea
Description: bacterial SSU rRNA
Rfam family: Archaeal small subunit ribosomal RNA
Source: RNAcentral